AGUGAACGCUGGCGGUAGGCCUAACACAUGCAAGUCGAACGGCAGCACAGUAAGAGCUUGCUCUUACGGGUGGCGAGUGGCGGACGGGUGAGGAAUACAUCGGAAUCUACUUUUUCGUGGGGGAUAACGUAGGGAAACUUACGCUAAUACCGCAUACGACCUACGGGUGGAAGCAGGGGAUCUUCGGACCUUGCGCGAUUGAAUGAGCCGAUGUCGGAUUAGCUAGUUGGCGGGGUAAAGGCCCACCAAGGCGACGAUCCGUAGCUGGUCUGAGAGGAUGAUCAGCCACACUGGAACUGAGACACGGUCCAGACUCCUACGGGAGGCAGCAGUGGGGAAUAUUGGACAAUGGGCGCAAGCCUGAUCCAGCCAUACCGCGUGGGUGAAGAAGGCCUUCGGGUUGUAAAGCCCUUUUGUUGGGAAAGAAAAGCAGCAGGUUAAUAUCCCGCUGUUCUGACGGUACCCAAAGAAUAAGCACCGGCUAACUUCGUG
RNAcentral lists this ribosomal RNA (492 nucleotides) under uncultured bacterium. RNAcentral describes it as "partial 16S ribosomal RNA". It matches the Rfam family "Bacterial small subunit ribosomal RNA", at positions 29 to 507 of the family's 1533-position model. The record is from RNAcentral.